This 469-nucleotide ribosomal RNA is filed under the name uncultured bacterium. RNAcentral's name for it is "partial 16S ribosomal RNA". It matches the Rfam family "Bacterial small subunit ribosomal RNA", at positions 28 to 507 of the family's 1533-position model. The record is from RNAcentral.
GACGAACGCUGGCGGCGUGCUUAACACAUGCAAGUCGAACGGAAAGGCCCUGCUUGCCGGGCGCUCGAGUGGCGAACGGGUGAGUAACACGUGGGUGAUCUGCCCCUUAUUUUGGGAUAAGCCUGGGAAACUGGGUCUAAUACUGGAUAGGACCAUGCUGUAGGUGGUGUGGUGGAAAGAUUAGUUUCGGUAAGGGAUGAGCUCGCGGCCUAUCAGCUUGUUGGUGGGGUAAUGGCCUACCAAGGCGUCGACGGGUAGCCGGCCUGAGAGGGUGGACGGCCCCAUUGGGACUGAGAUACGGCCCAGACUCCUACGGGAGGCAGCAGUGGGGAAUAUUGCACAAUGGGCGCAAGCCUGAUGCAGCGACGCCGCGUGGGGGAUGACGGCCUUCGGGUUGUAAACUCCUUUCAGCCAUGACGAAGCCCUUGUGGUGACGGUAGUGGUAGAAGAAGCACCGGCUAACUACGUG